GGUGAAAAGCACCCCGGAAGGGGAGUGAAAUAGAACCUGAAACCGUGUGCUUACAAGUAGUCAGAGCCCGUUAAUGGGUGAUGGCGUGCCUUUUGUAGAAUGAACCGGCGAGUUACGAUUUGAUGCAAGGUUAAGCAGUAAAUGUGGAGCCGUAGCGAAAGCGAGUCUGAAUAGGGCGUUUAGUAUUUGGUCGUAGACCCGAAACCAGGUGAUCUACCCUUGGUCAGGUUGAAGUUCAGGUAACACUGAAUGGAGGACCGAACCGACUUACGUUGAAAAGUGAGCGGAUGAACUGAGGGUAGCGGAGAAAUUCCAAUCGAACCUGGAGAUAGCUGGUUCUCUCCGAAAUAGCUUUAGGGCUAGCCUCAAGUGAUGAUUAUUGGAGGUAGAGCACUGUUUGGACGAGGGGCCCCUCUCGGGUUACCGAAUUCAGACAAACUCCGAAUGCCAAUUAAUUUAACUUGGGAGUCAGAACAUGGGUGAUAAGGUCCGUGUUCGAAAGGGAAACAGCCCAGACCACCAGCUAAGGUCCCAAAAUAUAUGUUAAGUGGAAAAGGAUGUGGCGUUGCCCAGACAACUAGGAUGUUGGCUUAGAAGCAGCCAUCAUUUAAAGAGUGCGUAAUAGCUCACUAGUCGAGUGACACUGCGCCGA
Molecule: ribosomal RNA, 652 nt
Filed under: Staphylococcus aureus
Lineage: Bacteria; Bacillati; Bacillota; Bacilli; Caryophanales; Staphylococcaceae
Description: partial 23S ribosomal RNA
Rfam family: Bacterial large subunit ribosomal RNA
Source: RNAcentral